AGAGUUUGAUCCUGGCUCAGGACGAACGCUGGCGGCGUGCCUAACACAUGCAAGUCGGACGGGGUGAGUUAGUGGAAGCUUUCGGGUUGAAGCUGACUUACCUAGUGGCGGACGGGUGAGUAACGCGUGAAUUACCUACCCUAGGGAGGGGGAUAACGCCUGGAAACGGGUGCUAAUACCCCAUAUGCCGAAAAGGUGAAAAGGAGAGAUCCGCCCUGGGGUGAGGCCGCGUCCUAUCAGCUUGUUGGUGAGGUAACGGCCCACCAAGGCUAUGACGGGUAGCCGGCCUGAGAGGGCGGCUGGCCACACUGGGAUUGAGAUACGGCCCAGACUCCUACGGGAGGCAGCAGUGGGGAAUAUUGGGCAAUGGGGGAAACCCUGACCCAGCGACGCCGCGUGGAGGAAGGAGCCCUUCGGGGUGUAAACUCCUGUUGUAAGGGAAGAAGACAGUGACGGUACCUUACGAGGAAGCCCCGGCAAACUACGUGCCAGCAGCCGCGGUAACACGUAGGGGGCGAGCGUUGUCCGGAAUCACUGGGCGUAAAGCGCACGCAGGCGGAUGCGCGCGUCGGCUGUGAAAUGCACCGGCUCAACCGGUGCACUGCGGUCGAUACGGCGCAUCUGGAGUGCGGGAGAGGGAAGCGGAAUUCCCGGUGUAGCGGUGAAAUGCGUAGAUAUCGGGAGGAACGCCGGUGGCGAAGGCGGCUUCCUGGCCCGCAACUGACGCUCAUGUGCGAAAGCCAGGGGAGCGAACCGGAUUAGAUACCCGGGUAGUCCUGGCCGUAAACGAUGGACGCUAGGUGUGGGCGGUUUAUCCGUCUGUGCCGAAGUUAACGCGUUAAGCGUCCCGCCUGGGGAGUACGAUCGCAAGGUUGAAACUCAAAGGAAUUGACGGGG
This 897-nucleotide ribosomal RNA is filed under the name uncultured Thermovirga sp. Its description in RNAcentral is "bacterial SSU rRNA". It matches the Rfam family "Bacterial small subunit ribosomal RNA", at positions 8 to 918 of the family's 1533-position model. Lineage: Bacteria; Thermotogati; Synergistota; Synergistia; Synergistales; Thermovirgaceae. The record is from RNAcentral.